GACAGAGGAUGCAAGCGUUAUCCGGAAUGAUUGGGCGUAAAGCGUCUGUAGGUGGCUUUUCAAGUCCGCCAUCAAAUCCCAAGGCUCAACCCUGGACAGGCGGUGGAAACUACCAAGCUGGAGUACGGUAGGGGCAGAGGGAAUUUCCGGUGGAGCAGUGAAAUGCAUUGAGAUCGGAAGGAACACCUGUGGCGAAAGCGGCUCACUGGACCAUUACUGACGCUGAGGCACGAAAGCUAGGGGAGCAAACAGG
This 253-nucleotide ribosomal RNA is filed under the name uncultured bacterium. RNAcentral describes it as "partial 16S ribosomal RNA". It matches the Rfam family "Bacterial small subunit ribosomal RNA", at positions 524 to 776 of the family's 1533-position model. The record is from RNAcentral.